This 2420-nucleotide ribosomal RNA is filed under the name Staphylococcus aureus. RNAcentral describes it as "partial 23S ribosomal RNA". It matches the Rfam family "Bacterial large subunit ribosomal RNA", at positions 426 to 2852 of the family's 2925-position model. Lineage: Bacteria; Bacillati; Bacillota; Bacilli; Caryophanales; Staphylococcaceae. The record is from RNAcentral.
GUGAAAUUCCGUCGGAAUCUGGGAGGACCAUCUCCUAAGGCUAAAUACUCUCUAGUGACCGAUAGUGAACCAGUACCGUGAGGGAAAGGUGAAAAGCACCCCGGAAGGGGAGUGAAAUAGAACCUGAAACCGUGUGCUUACAAGUAGUCAGAGCCCGUUAAUGGGUGAUGGCGUGCCUUUUGUAGAAUGAACCGGCGAGUUACGAUUUGAUGCAAGGUUAAGCAGUAAAUGUGGAGCCGUAGCGAAAGCGAGUCUGAAUAGGGCGUUUAGUAUUUGGUCGUAGACCCGAAACCAGGUGAUCUACCCUUGGUCAGGUUGAAGUUCAGGUAACACUGAAUGGAGGACCGAACCGACUUACGUUGAAAAGUGAGCGGAUGAACUGAGGGUAGCGGAGAAAUUCCAAUCGAACCUGGAGAUAGCUGGUUCUCUCCGAAAUAGCUUUAGGGCUAGCCUCAAGUGAUGAUUAUUGGAGGUAGAGCACUGUUUGGACGAGGGGCCCCUCUCGGGUUACCGAAUUCAGACAAACUCCGAAUGCCAAUUAAUUUAACUUGGGAGUCAGAACAUGGGUGAUAAGGUCCAUGUUCGAAAGGGAAACAGCCCAGACCACCAGCUAAGGUCCCAAAAUAUAUGUUAAGUGGAAAAGGAUGUGGCGUUGCCCAGACAACUAGGAUGUUGGCUUAGAAGCAGCCAUCAUUUAAAGAGUGCGUAAUAGCUCACUAGUCGAGUGACACUGCGCCGAAAAUGUACCGGGGCUAAACAUAUUACCGAAGCUGUGGAUUGUCCUUUGGACAAUGGUAGGAGAGCGUUCUAAGGGCGUUGAAGCAUGAUCGUAAGGACAUGUGGAGCGCUUAGAAGUGAGAAUGCCGGUGUGAGUAGCGAAAGAUGGGUGAGAAUCCCGUCCACCGAUUGACUAAGGUUUCCAGAGGAAGGCUCGUCCGCUCUGGGUUAGUCGGGUCCUAAGCUGAGGCCGACAGGCGUAGGCGAUGGAUAACAGGUUGAUAUUCCUGUACCACCUAUAAUCGUUUUAAUCGAUGGGGGGACGCAGUAGGAUAGGCGAAGCGUGCGAUUGGAUUGCACGUCUAAGCAGUAAGGCUGAGUAUUAGGCAAAUCCGGUACUCGUUAAGGCUGAGCUGUGAUGGGGAGAAGACAUUGUGUCUUCGAGUCGUUGAUUUCACACUGCCGAGAAAAGCCUCUAGAUAGAAAAUAGGUGCCCGUACCGCAAACCGACACAGGUAGUCAAGAUGAGAAUUCUAAGGUGAGCGAGCGAACUCUCGUUAAGGAACUCGGCAAAAUGACCCCGUAACUUCGGGAGAAGGGGUGCUCUUUAGGGUUAACGCCCAGAAGAGCCGCAGUGAAUAGGCCCAAGCGACUGUUUAUCAAAAACACAGGUCUCUGCUAAACCGUAAGGUGAUGUAUAGGGGCUGACGCCUGCCCGGUGCUGGAAGGUUAAGAGGAGUGGUUAGCUUCUGCGAAGCUACGAAUCGAAGCCCCAGUAAACGGCGGCCGUAACUAUAACGGUCCUAAGGUAGCGAAAUUCCUUGUCGGGUAAGUUCCGACCCGCACGAAAGGCGUAACGAUUUGGGCACUGUCUCAACGAGAGACUCGGUGAAAUCAUAGUACCUGUGAAGAUGCAGGUUACCCGCGACAGGACGGAAAGACCCCGUGGAGCUUUACUGUAGCCUGAUAUUGAAAUUCGGCACAGCUUGUACAGGAUAGGUAGGAGCCUUUGAAACGUGAGCGCUAGCUUACGUGGAGGCGCUGGUGGGAUACUACCCUAGCUGUGUUGGCUUUCUAACCCGCACCACUUAUCGUGGUGGGAGACAGUGUCAGGCGGGCAGUUUGACUGGGGCGGUCGCCUCCUAAAAGGUAACGGAGGCGCUCAAAGGUUCCCUCAGAAUGGUUGGAAAUCAUUCAUAGAGUGUAAAGGCAUAAGGGAGCUUGACUGCGAGACCUACAAGUCGAGCAGGGUCGAAAGACGGACUUAGUGAUCCGGUGGUUCCGCAUGGAAGGGCCAUCGCUCAACGGAUAAAAGCUACCCCGGGGAUAACAGGCUUAUCUCCCCCAAGAGUUCACAUCGACGGGGAGGUUUGGCACCUCGAUGUCGGCUCAUCGCAUCCUGGGGCUGUAGUCGGUCCCAAGGGUUGGGCUGUUCGCCCAUUAAAGCGGUACGCGAGCUGGGUUCAGAACGUCGUGAGACAGUUCGGUCCCUAUCCGUCGUGGGCGUAGGAAAUUUGAGAGGAGCUGUCCUUAGUACGAGAGGACCGGGAUGGACAUACCUCUGGUGUACCAGUUGUCGUGCCAACGGCAUAGCUGGGUAGCUAUGUGUGGACGGGAUAAGUGCUGAAAGCAUCUAAGCAUGAAGCCCCCCUCAAGAUGAGAUUUCCCAACUUCGGUUAUAAGAUCCCUCAAAGAUGAUGAGG